UAUUUUCUUUUUCAGGACGUGGUCACAAAUAAUGAGUUUGAGACAAACCUUGUGUCAUGUGUUAUCGCACUCAGAUAUUGGAGCCUUGGAGAAUGUAAAAGAAAUGUUAAACGAAUGUGAGAGCUUAUACCCGCAUAAAACAAUUUUUUCUUGGGCGUCGAUGAGCACAGGAGCUCGGAGGAGGCCACCAUGGAGCUGACGUGACCUCGGCAAACAAAACAUGUAAAGAAUGAGAACGACGAGGCGAGCCAAUACUACAGAGGAGCUGGGCCAUAGGGAGGUCUUAAUUUUAAGUAGCAAUCUUGGUUGCUAGCAUAUGUAAGAUUUGAAGUAUCUAUCCACCUUUAAAAUAGUAGUGUCUAAAUACUAAAUAAUGAUUAUAGUGAUUUAUGACAAUCAGGUACCGUUUGGUUUA
Molecule: long non-coding RNA, 415 nt
Organism: Triticum dicoccoides
Lineage: Eukaryota; Viridiplantae; Streptophyta; Magnoliopsida; Poales; Poaceae
Exons: 3
Source: RefSeq, a predicted model, not a curated record